This 292-nucleotide ribosomal RNA is filed under the name uncultured bacterium. Its description in RNAcentral is "partial 16S ribosomal RNA". The record is from RNAcentral.
GGACUACAAGGGUAUCUAAUCCUGUUUGCUCCCCACGCUUUCGCGCCUCAGUGUCAGUAUCAGUCCAGAAAGUCGCCUUCGCCACUGAUGUUCCUUCCGAUAUCUACGCAUUUCACCGCUACACCGGAAAUUCCACUUCCCUCUACCGUACUCUAGAUAACCAGUAUUGGAUGACAUUCCUAGGUUAAGCCCAGGGCUUUUACAUCCAACUUAAUUACCCACCUACGCGCUCUUUACGCCCAGUAAUUCCGAUUAACGCUCGCACCCUCUGUAUUACCGCGGCUGCUGGCAC